UUCACAUAUUUCUCCAUUUUUUUUCUUAGUAUAUUGAUAUGUCUCUUUCUUGACUAAGUGAUCUCCAUAUUUUGAUCUUUGGAAUUCCAUCAACUUUUCAAUCAACCCUUCUUCUAUCAUAGCUUCAACCAUUUCUUUUCUACCAGAAUAUACAAUUUCGCAGAUGCAAUCCAUUGCUGCUACUUGAAUUGAUAAAUCUUAUGACCUCAAAAGGCUUAUAAUUCUUGGGGUUUUUCCAUCCAAUUCAAUUUCACCAAUCAAUGGAGUCUUGAUCAAUCUUAUAAGUGAACAAAGAAAGCCAUUGAUAUCAAAGAUUGAACAAUUGGACCCACUAAAACCAACCCAACAAACGAUUUCGAUCAGUACUCUUAUUGUGGGGUUUUGCUAUUUAUGCCCCUUUCACAUACGAUAUCAAUUAAACACUAAUAUGAUCGAUAAGUGCAUAAAUCAAAUUUAGUUCAUUUUGAUUUAGAUUAGGAUUGUUACCUUGGAGCGGAAAAGAGGAAGAGAUGGAAAAAGAAUUGAGGAACGGUGCAAAUUAGAGGUAAUCGGAGCAGACUAGCAACUACAACAAUGGUGCAAAGUACGGAGGUUGAUUGAAGAGAAGCAAGCAAGCUGAGAAUGUGCAGGUGCUCAAGCCGCCAUGAUUCAGAUGAGCAACUCAGAGGUAAUUGGAGCAGACUAGCAACUGCAAAAUUGCUACUGUAAAUAAAUGGGUCUUUGUUUCACACGGUGGCUAAUUACCUCUGAUAUUCAAAUAAUUUUUAUUUUAUUUUUAAAAAUAGAAAGAAAGUAGUGACUGCUCCUGCCAUUUGGUUUCAUUAGUAAUCAAAUCUGAUCGAUGAUUAUCAAGAAUAGGAGAUGUUACUGCUGUUGUUACGUGUUUGAUCAUUUAUUAGUUUCAAGUAUCAAAUCAGUAAAAACAGUUUCAUUAAGCAUCUUUGAUGUAUCACUCUGCAUUUUGAUUCUUGAAUAUAAGUGAAAAUGAUUCUAGCGGAAGAAUCUCUGAUCCAAGGAAGUCUUGCUGGCUCGUCUUCUUGGAUGAAUGUUGACUAUUACUUUUUUUUUCUUCUAUACGAUGUCAUUUAGAACAGAUGAGACCCAUUUUUAUGAGGAGGAUUAACUUUUCAUGUAAGCGUGUGAUGUGUCAUUUUUUAAAAGUUUAUGUGGAUUGUCGGCUAGCACAUCAGCUAAAACUUAUCGAAAUUUUGUACGACUAAACAGAAAUAAUGGAUACAGUAUUAAAAAGAAACAAUUUGAAGAAUUGAUAUCAAUUGGAUAUAAGUCGUAAAGUAUUAAAAUCAACAGGGCAAUUUAUCCAUUAUCACAACAAUAUCUGCGCAUGGAAGUUAGGAAUGCCGAUUUUGCUAUUGGAAGUCACAAAUCUCUUGGACUAGAUGGCUUUGAUAGCCUUACUUUCGAGAAGAGUUGGGAAAUGAUUGGUUCAGACAUUACCGAGGCAGUUUAAGACUUUUCCAGGAUAGGCAAUUUAAUACUUUCCAAGGACAGGCAAGCCUCUAAAAUAUAUCAAUUCUACACUAGUGUUCCCCAGGUGGUGAAUCCUCAGAAGCUUGGAGACUAUAGACCAGCUCUUGUUGCAUUGUAUAGAAGUAUUACCAAAACCAUAGCAGCAGAUUAUAAAGAGUAUUACCUACUUUGAUAGAUUGAGGAUAUUUUUCUUGCAUAUGAGCUAGGGCUAAAUUACCAUCAUGAAAAGGGUCCUGGGGACUAUGCUUUAAAGUUGAUUUAAAGAAGACACAUGACUAGACUCACUGGGACUGUACUGAAUAAGAUUUAUUGGCUACGGAGUUUUCUGGGAAAUACAUUCAGUGGAUAGCGGUUUGCAUUAGAACUCCUUAUUUUUCUGUUAUGGUUAAUGGCAGUCCUGAGGGGUUCGUUUUCUUGGCACAAAGGCGAUCCAAUCUCACCUUUGCCUUUUAAGCUGAAUAUUGAGAAUCUGUCCAGAAAUUAAUACUGCGAGUGAAAAGGUGCCUUUGGAGAUUAUUCCCAUGAAGUUGUGUGUACACACACACACACACACA
This is a long non-coding RNA of Ricinus communis (castor bean), 2042 nucleotides long. RefSeq lists it as uncharacterized. The record is from RefSeq and is a predicted model, not a curated record. The transcript is spliced from 2 exons. Lineage: Eukaryota; Viridiplantae; Streptophyta; Magnoliopsida; Malpighiales; Euphorbiaceae.